Molecule: ribosomal RNA, 539 nt
Filed under: uncultured Geobacteraceae bacterium
Lineage: Bacteria; Pseudomonadati; Thermodesulfobacteriota; Desulfuromonadia; Geobacterales; Geobacteraceae
Description: bacterial SSU rRNA
Rfam family: Bacterial small subunit ribosomal RNA
Source: RNAcentral
GAGUUUGAUCCUGGCUCAGAACGAACGCUGGCGGCGUGCUUAACACAUGCAAGUCGAACGUGAUCCAGAGCUUGCUCUGGUGAAAGUGGCGCACGGGUGAGUAACGCGUGGAUAACCUGCCCUGGUAUCUGGGAUAACAUCUCGAAAGGGGUGCUAAUACCGGAUAAGCCUACGGGCUCUUCGGAGUCUGCAGGAAAAGGAGGCCUCUAUUUAUAAGCUUCCGUAUCAUGAUGGGUCCGCGUACCAUUAGCUAGUUGGUGGGGUAAUGGCCUACCAAGGCGACGAUGGUUAGCUGGUCUGAGAGGAUGAUCAGCCACACUGGAACUGAGACACGGUCCAGACUCCUACGGGAGGCAGCAGUGGGGAAUUUUGCGCAAUGGGGGAAACCCUGACGCAGCAACGCCGCGUGAGUGAUGAAGGCUUUCGGGUCGUAAAGCUCUGUCAGAGGGGAAGAAAUGGGUCGUGCUAAUAUCGCGACUUCUUGACGGUACCCUCAAAGGAAGCACCGGCUAACUCCGUGCCAGCAGCCGCGGUAAUAC